AGGACGAACGCUGGCGGCGUGCUUAACACAUGCAAGUCGAGCGGAAAGGCCUUUCGGGGUACUCGAGCGGCGAACGGGUGAGUAACACGUGAGUAAUCUGCCCAUCGCUUCAGGAUAGCCAUCGGAAACGGUGAUUAAUACUGGAUAUGACAUUCCUCCGCAUGUUGGGGGUGUGGAAAGUUUUCGUUCGGUGGU
This 195-nucleotide ribosomal RNA is filed under the name uncultured soil bacterium. Its description in RNAcentral is "partial 16S ribosomal RNA". It matches the Rfam family "Bacterial small subunit ribosomal RNA", at positions 26 to 222 of the family's 1533-position model. The record is from RNAcentral.